RNAcentral lists this long non-coding RNA (647 nucleotides) under Olea europaea subsp. europaea. The record is from RNAcentral. Lineage: Eukaryota; Viridiplantae; Streptophyta; Magnoliopsida; Lamiales; Oleaceae.
CUGAGACUAACCAUACACAGCAGUCUCUACCACCACUGCCACAGCCACAGCCACAGCCACCCAACAACCUCCACCAUCCAACCCCAAAUUAAAACCCAAAUUCUUUAAACAACAGAAUUUUCCUCCAUCCAGUGGUUAAUUGUAUAAUCACUAACCUAAUUAAAACUCGAAUUACUUGAGAUACAUAAUUUACCUCCAACCAAUACGGUAGAUCAAGCCUCAACUCAUAUUUCUACACUAAAAAUGUAUCAGGAUGGCAAAAGUGCCUGUUCGAUAGCUUCAUUUUUCUCAAUUAAAUCAAUUGAAGGCCGAGGUAGAUCGUUUUGGGUAGAUUGCAGUAGUGUUUUGGGCCUAUUUUGGUGAUCUUCCAUUAGAAUGUACCUCUUGAUGAGGCAGGAUGAAUGGUGGUGGUCGAUGGUAAUAUGCAUCGUCGAAAGUCGUGUUCUCGAUUUGUGAAGGGGUCGAAAAUCGAGGAUAUUUUUGAUAGAUUUCUUCCUACAAAAUAGUUGUUUGGCUUGGUUGUUUGUUGGAGUAUGUUGGGGUGUGAUACCGUCAGCAUGGGGGUUAUUUUUCGACGGCUUUGGAGGCGACAAGGUGAUGGUUAAAGAAAAAAAGUGCGACGGCUCCAUUUGGGCUUUUCCUUUUUG